RNAcentral lists this ribosomal RNA (467 nucleotides) under uncultured bacterium. RNAcentral describes it as "partial 16S ribosomal RNA". It matches the Rfam family "Bacterial small subunit ribosomal RNA", at positions 28 to 523 of the family's 1533-position model. The record is from RNAcentral.
GAUAAACGCUGGCGGCGUGCCUAAUACAUGCAAGUCGAGCGGCAGCGCGAGUAGUUUACUACUUGGCGGCGAGCGGCGGACGGCUGAGUAACGCGUGGGAACGCGCCCCAAAGUGAGGAAUAACUGCCCGAAAGGGUAGCUAAUGCCGCAUAUGCUCUUCGGAGUAAAGCUUUCGAGCGCUUUGGGAGCGGCCCGCGUCCGAUUAGGUUGUUGGUGAGGUAAUGGCUCACCAAGCCGACGAUCGGUAGCUGGUCUGAGAGGAUGAUCAGCCAGACUGGGACUGAGACACGGCCCAGACUCCUACGGGAGGCAGCAGUAAGGAAUCUUCCACAAUGGGGGCAACCCUGAUGGAGCAACGCCGCGUGCAGGAUGAAGGCUUUCGGGUCGUAAACUGCUUUUAUAAGUGAAGAAUAUGACGGUAACUUAUGAAUAAGGAUCGGCUAACUACGUGCCAGCCGCCGCGGUAA